AAACGUAGUCCAACAACGAAAGAGCCCUGAAGCUCAAGCGGAGCCCGCUGGCCGCAGGGGCCGCACCACGCCCCAGACCCUGGAGUUUCCGGGUGCGCAGACCCUUGCCAUCAGCAGAGGCUGCCGCUGCGCGUCCCCUAGGCGCGGAAGAGGCGGCUGGUGGUCCCUGACGGCAAGGUGAAGUCGAGGCAGUAAUCGGGAACCCAGGUUUUAUACAUUACGAAUAAAGCUGGCACGUUUCCAUUUCUCCUGGGCAAAUAUUUAGAAGAAAAGUUGCUGGGUAAUUGGUGGAGACAAGGUUUCGCCACAUUGACUGGGCUGGUCUGGAACUCCUGAGCUCAAGCAACCGGCCCUCCUUGACCUCCCAAAGUGCUAGGAUUACAGGUGUGAACCACCGUGCCCGGCCCUACUUUCUAUCGAAGUAGAAUAGGUAGAUCACAUUAUUAUUAACAGUAUAUGGGAAGAGGGAGGUCCUCCCAUGUUACAUUGUUCUCCCUUCACCUUCUGGGUCAUGUUGCACCACUGUUUCCCUUCUAGUCAUAUCCCAGGGGGCCUUGUCCCAUUUAUACAGCUCUAUUCUAGUGGUCACCAGAGGAAUGGGAGUAAUCUGAUUGAAAGAUAAGACAGAAGAUUGUACUCUCUUUUUUUUUUUUUUGAGACAGAGUCACCCAGGCUGGAAUGCAGUGGCAUUGUCAUGGCUCACCGCAGUCUCAAACUCCUGGGCCCAAGUGAUCCUCCCACUCAGCCUCCUGAGUAGCUGGGACUAGAGGCACAUGCAACCACAUGCAGCUAUUUUUUUUUAAAUUUUCUGUAGAGACAGGGUCUCACUGUGUUGCUCAGUUUGUCUCAAACUCCUGGGCUCAAGUGAUCCUCCUGCCUUGGCCUCACAAAGUACUAGGAUUACAGGCAUGAGUCACCACACUCAGCUGAACUCUACUCUUUAUGUUCAGGAAAGCACUGGAGAAGAGAGAGGACAAGAGAAACAGGUCCGUAGUGACAGGAGCCUAGGAAUAGAGCAGGCCUUCAGUCUUGGUGAAAAAAUAAAUGGUAUUCUAAGCCUUCCUUUGGACAUUAA
This 1075-nucleotide long non-coding RNA is filed under the name Homo sapiens (human). RNAcentral describes it as "ZNF529 antisense RNA 1, transcript variant 5 (ZNF529-AS1)". Lineage: Eukaryota; Metazoa; Chordata; Mammalia; Primates; Hominidae. The record is from RNAcentral.